This is a long non-coding RNA of Xiphias gladius (swordfish), 826 nucleotides long. RefSeq lists it as uncharacterized. The transcript is spliced from 2 exons. The record is from RefSeq and is a predicted model, not a curated record. Lineage: Eukaryota; Metazoa; Chordata; Actinopteri; Istiophoriformes; Xiphiidae.
CCAUGCUCUGCUCCACGUCUGCGGCAUGUGCCAAAUAAUUUUGUUAGAUAACUUUUACAGAAUAUAAUAGUAACAAGUUUACUGUUAACUGGGCGUAACAGAUAGUGAACUUUGCAUAGUCAUCUGAGCAAUCCGUAUCACUGUAGUGUAGCGAGCUUUUUUUUUUUUUUUCUCCAGAGGCAUCUGCCUCCGCAGGUGUUUUGCCGUGGCUUGAAAGCGAGGAGGGAGGAUAAGUGCUGAGUGAGCACAGACAACAGCUACUCUGUCUUUCUCAAACAUCUUCAAGGUCCCUGCGGAGGGAUAAAGGGCCAACAGGAGGUGCUUUCCCAGGAGAGACUCAUCUGGUGCUUUACGGGGCUCCCGUGUGCAGUUGACAGGGCGGCCGGGCUCUUUGCACUCGCUGUUCCUUUUUCCUAUGCAUAUACCUCUUUGAGAUAUAACUUUAAAGAGGCAUAGGGCAUGGGAAAAUGGGGCUGCAGGGGUAUUCCACCGGGCAGACAGCCAUUUCAUCACCCUCUCCGCAUGACAGCUGACCUCAAAGCACGCACGCACGCACCCCAGGCUCCAGCCUGCCACUCACUUAUAGGGGAAGACUGCAAAGCGUAGACCCUGACACACUGGCCGCAGGGGAUGUUUAUAUCUCUGUGAUUCAUUUUUAUGUAAUAUCGCAACUCAAAUUUCAUCAUAUUUAUUCAUGAUGGGAUUGUGUAAGUGUGAAGUGAGACAAUAUUACAUUUUUACUACUUUAUUGUUCAUUUUAAACAUCUGUUUGAGUCUGACUAUUUUCUUUGUUCUUGUUUUUGAAUAAAGACUUCUUGGCAUUAAA